Trichechus manatus latirostris (Florida manatee) is the source of this 72-nucleotide non-coding RNA. Lineage: Eukaryota; Metazoa; Chordata; Mammalia; Sirenia; Trichechidae. The record is from the annotation of a RefSeq genome assembly.
GGAGGUAUAGCUCAGUGGUAGAGCACGUGUUUAGCAUGCACAAGCCCCUGGGUUCAAUCCCCAGUAUCUCCA